This 148-nucleotide non-coding RNA is filed under the name uncultured Cypionkella sp. Lineage: Bacteria; Pseudomonadati; Pseudomonadota; Alphaproteobacteria; Rhodobacterales; Paracoccaceae. The record is from RNAcentral.
GCUGUUGCGCGGGCUAUAAUUUUCAAACAUAUAGCCGCGCGUCUGAUCAAUGCAGUGAAACAGCGGGUUCCAAGAAUACAUAUAAAGCAUGCGCUCGGACAACGAAUUUCCCAAAAACAUCUUGCCGGAAAAGAUCAUAUUUGCCCGC